GUUUCUUCGGAGACAUCCGAUAAACUUGGAACGAUAUAAAAAAAUUUAGCAAAGUCCUUGCGUAAGAAUAACACGCACAAAUCGAGAAAUGGUCUAAACAAUU
Nicotiana attenuata is the source of this 103-nucleotide non-coding RNA. Lineage: Eukaryota; Viridiplantae; Streptophyta; Magnoliopsida; Solanales; Solanaceae. The record is from Rfam.